GACGAACCGUGCGAACGUUGUUCGGAAUCACUGGGCUUAAAGGGCGCGUAGGCGGGCUCCCAAGUCUGGGGUGAAAUCUUUCGGCUUAACCGGAAAAGUGCCUCGGAUACUGGGAGCCUUGAGGGAGGCAGGGGCGGAUGGAACUUCCGGUGGAGCGGUGAAAUGCGUUGAUAUCGGAAGGAACGCCGGUGGCGAAAGCGACCUGCUGGAUCUCUACUGACGCUGAGGCGCGAAAGCCAGGGGAGCAAACGGG
Molecule: ribosomal RNA, 253 nt
Filed under: uncultured bacterium
Lineage: Bacteria
Description: partial 16S ribosomal RNA
Rfam family: Bacterial small subunit ribosomal RNA
Source: RNAcentral